RNAcentral lists this ribosomal RNA (859 nucleotides) under Daldinia loculata. Its description in RNAcentral is "eukaryotic LSU rRNA". The stretch from base 268 to 859 matches the Rfam family "Eukaryotic large subunit ribosomal RNA", at positions 1 to 602 of the family's 3401-position model. Lineage: Eukaryota; Fungi; Ascomycota; Sordariomycetes; Xylariales; Hypoxylaceae. The record is from RNAcentral.
GAUAAGUAAUGUGAAUUGCAGAAUUCAGUGAAUCAUCGAAUCUUUGAACGCACAUUGCGCCCAUUAGUAUUCUAGUGGGCAUGCCUAUUCGAGCGUCAUUUCAACCCUUAAGCCUAGUUGCUUAGUGUUGGGAAUCUGCCCUGUAUUUAUAGGGCAGUUCCUUAAAGUGAUCGGCGGAGUUAGGGCAUACUCUAAGCGUAGUAAUAUUCUUCUCGCUUCUGUAGUUGUCCUGGCGGCUUGCCGUUAAACCCCUAUAUUUCUAGUGGUUGACCUCGGAUUAGGUAGGAAUACCCGCUGAACUUAAGCAUAUCAAUAAGCGGAGGAAAAGAAACCAACAGGGAUUGCCCUAGUAACGGCGAGUGAAGCGGCAACAGCUCAAAUUUGAAAUCUGGCCCUAGCGGUCCGAGUUGUAAUUUGUAGAGGAUGCUUUUGGUUAGGUGCCUUCUGAGUUCCCUGGAACGGGACGCCAGAGAGGGUGAGAGCCCCGUACGGUUGGACACCGAGCCUCUAUAUAGCUCCUUCGACGAGUCGAGUAGUUUGGGAAUGCUGCUCUAAAUGGGAGGUAAAUUUCUUCUAAAGCUAAAUACCGGCCAGAGACCGAUAGCGCACAAGUAGAGUGAUCGAAAGAUGAAAAGUACUUUGAAAAGAGGGUUAAAUAGCACGUGAAAUUGUUGAAAGGGAAGCGUUUGCGACCAGACUUUUUCCAGGCGGAUCAUCCGGUGUUCUCACCGGUGCACUUCGCCUGGUUUAGGCCAGCAUCGGUUCUCUUAGGGGGAUAAAGGCCUGGGGAACGUAGCUCCUUCGGGAGUGUUAUAGCCCCUAGCGUAAUACCCUUCGGGGGACCGAGGAACGCGCAUCU